GAUGAACGCUGGCGGCGUGCCUAAUACAUGCAAGUCGAGCGAAUGGAUUGAGAGCUUGCUCUUAUGAAGUUAGCGGCGGACGGGUGAGUAACACGUGGGUAACCUGCCCAUAAGACUGGGAUAACUCCGGGAAACCGGGGCUAAUACCGGAUAACAUUUUGAACCGCAUGGUUCGAAAUUGAAAGGCGGCUUCGGCUGUCACUUAUGGAUGGACCCGCGUCGCAUUAGCUAGUUGGUGAGGUAACGGCUCACCAAGGCAACGAUGCGUAGCCGACCUGAGAGGGUGAUCGGCCACACUGGGACCGAGACACGGCCCAGACUCCUACGGGAGGCAGCAGUAGGGAAUCUUCCGCAAUGGACGAAAGUCUGACGGAGCAACGCCGCGUGAGUGAUGAAGGCUUUCGGGUCGUAAAACUCUGUUGUUAGGGAAGAACAGGUGCUAGUUGAAUAAGCUGGCACCUUGACGGUACCUAACCAGAAAGCCACGGCUAACUACGUGCCAGCCGCCGCGGUAA
RNAcentral lists this ribosomal RNA (515 nucleotides) under uncultured bacterium. RNAcentral's name for it is "partial 16S ribosomal RNA". It matches the Rfam family "Bacterial small subunit ribosomal RNA", at positions 28 to 523 of the family's 1533-position model. The record is from RNAcentral.